UACGUAGGGAGCGAGCGUUGUCCGGAAUUACUGGGCGUAAAGGGUGCGUAGGCGGCAUGGCAAGUCAGAUGUGAAAUACCCGGGCUUAACCCGGGGGGUGCAUUUGAAACUGCUGUGCUUGAGUGCAGGAGAGGAAAGCGGAAUUCCUAGUGUAGCGGUGAAAUGCGUAGAUAUUAGGAGGAACACCAGUGGCGAAGGCGGCUUUCUGGACUGUAACUGACGCUGAGGCACGAAAGCGUGGGGAGCAAACAGGAUUAGAUACCCUGGUA
This 269-nucleotide ribosomal RNA is filed under the name uncultured prokaryote. Its description in RNAcentral is "partial 16S ribosomal RNA". It matches the Rfam family "Bacterial small subunit ribosomal RNA", at positions 524 to 792 of the family's 1533-position model. The record is from RNAcentral.